This 432-nucleotide long non-coding RNA is filed under the name Capsicum annuum. Its description in RNAcentral is "long non-coding RNA (CANN_LNC012208)". Lineage: Eukaryota; Viridiplantae; Streptophyta; Magnoliopsida; Solanales; Solanaceae. The record is from RNAcentral.
CCUUACAUACAAACCAAAACACUCGGUAAAUUCACUCACAAUCAACAACAACAUACCCCGUGGGACUCUCGGGAAUGAUAGAAAACACAUCAACCUUGCCCCUACCUCAGAGAUAGAGAGGCUAUUUCCGACAGGCGCUUGGCUCAAGGUACUCACAAUCAACAACAACAACAUACCCCGUAUACUCCCCCAAAGUUGGGAAUAUCCGGGAAUGAUACAAAAUACGUCAAACCUUGCCCCUACCUCAGAGAUAGAGAGGCUAUUUCUGACAGGCGCUUGGCUCAAGGUACUCACAAUCAACAACCAACCAACAGAAAAAAAAAAUCAAAUCUUUUGUCAUCUCUUCCAAAUGUAUCCUCUGAACAUAGCUCCCCUGCCAAAAUUCAACCUUGAACAAUCAACAUAAACACCAAAAAAACUAAAUAACAAUCA